GCGAGUGUUUGGGUGUUAAACCCAUACGCGUAAUGAAAGUGAACGGAGGUGAGAACCCUUAAGGGUGCAUCAUCGACCGAUCCUGAUGUCUUCGGAUGGAUUUGAGUAAGAGCAUAUUGGGUGCUACCCGAAAGAUGGUGAUCUAUACGUGAAUAGGGUGAAGCCAGAGGAAACUCUGGUGGAGGCUCGCAGCGGUUCUGACGUGCAAAUCGAUCGUCAAAUUUGCGUAUAGGGGCGAAAGACUAAUCG
RNAcentral lists this ribosomal RNA (249 nucleotides) under Sclerencoelia fascicularis. Its description in RNAcentral is "partial 28S ribosomal RNA". It matches the Rfam family "Eukaryotic large subunit ribosomal RNA", at positions 686 to 937 of the family's 3401-position model. Lineage: Eukaryota; Fungi; Ascomycota; Leotiomycetes; Helotiales; Sclerotiniaceae. The record is from RNAcentral.